GACGAACGCUGGCGGCGUGCUUAACACAUGCAAGUCGAGCGGUAAGGCCCUUUCGGGGGUACACGAGCGGCGAACGGGUGAGUAACACGUGGGUGACCUGCCCUCAGCUCUGGGAUAAGCCUGGGAAACUGGGUCUAAUACUGGAUAUGACUCCACGGUGCAUGUCGUGGGGUGGAAAGCCUUGUGCGGCUGAGGAUGGGCCCGCGGCCUAUCAGCUUGUUGGUGGGGCGANGGGCCUACCAAGGCGACGACGGGUAGCCGGCCUGAGAGGGCGACCGGCCACACUGGGACUGAGAUACGGCCCAGACUCCUACGGGAGGCAGCAGUGGGGAAUAUUGCGCAAUGGGCGGAAGCCUGACGCAGCGACGCCGCGUGGGGAUGACGGCCCUCGGGUGUAAACCUCUUCGACCGGGACGAAGAGAGAUUGACGGUACCGGUACAAGAAGCACCGGCCAACUACGUGCCAGCAGCCG
RNAcentral lists this ribosomal RNA (473 nucleotides) under uncultured bacterium. RNAcentral's name for it is "bacterial SSU rRNA". It matches the Rfam family "Bacterial small subunit ribosomal RNA", at positions 28 to 517 of the family's 1533-position model. The record is from RNAcentral.